CUUCAUAUUACCAACAACAAUACACUACAUUGAAAUAACUCCAAUAAAUUAACCAGCAGCUACCAGCCCACUCCAUACAUUCCCUCCUCUCCAAAACGUCAAUUAGCAUGGGCAAAACUUAAACUCGCGGCUUCAUAUCACCAUCAUGUGAGUCUUACCUAUUAAAUAUAUCUAGAACAUGAAUAACAUCACGUACAUGUAGAAAUAGAAAAGAAUUGCAGAAAAACUUCAUCUCCUUUUACUAAAUGAAUGAACCAUUGUAAAAUGUAUCCUAUUUAUACAUGUAAAAGAACGAACAAACCUAUUUAACUUCUAAUACUAACUACAAACUUAAGAGUUCUAACUUAGGUAGAAGAUAUUAAAAAAUUCACUACCAUAUACACUAAUAC
Molecule: long non-coding RNA, 389 nt
Filed under: Solanum tuberosum (potato)
Lineage: Eukaryota; Viridiplantae; Streptophyta; Magnoliopsida; Solanales; Solanaceae
Description: long non-coding RNA (STUB_LNC006281)
Source: RNAcentral